This 399-nucleotide ribosomal RNA is filed under the name uncultured bacterium. Its description in RNAcentral is "bacterial SSU rRNA". It matches the Rfam family "Bacterial small subunit ribosomal RNA", at positions 30 to 429 of the family's 1533-position model. The record is from RNAcentral.
AUUGAACGCUGGCGGCAUGCCUUACACAUGCAAGUACGAACGGUAACGGGCCUUCGGGUGCCGACGAGUGGCGAACGGGUGAGUAAUGCAUCGGAACGUACCUUUCAGUCGGGGGAUAACGUAGCGAAAGUUUACGCUAAUACCGCAUAUUCUGUGAGCAGGAAAGCAGGGGAUCGCAAGACCUUGCGCUGAUUGAGCGGCCGAUGUCAGAUUAGCUAGUUGGUGAGGUAAAGGCUCACCAAGGCGACGAUCCUGUAGCGGGUCUGAGAGGAUGAUCCGCCACACUGGAACUGAGACACGGUCCAGACUCCUACGGGAGGCAGCAGUGGGGAAUUUGGACAAUGGGGGCAACCCUGAUCCAGCCAUGCCGCGUGAGUGAAGAAGGCCUCGGGUUGUAAA